CGCGAAAACUUUACAAUGCUGGCAACAGCGAUAAGGGAACCUCGAGUGCCAGGUUACAAAUCUGACUGUCGAGAUGCCUAAAAAGCAUUUCAUAGCAAGGGCCGGGCAAGACCGGUGCCAGCCGCCGCGGUAACACCGGCGGCUCGAGUGGUAACCGUUAUUAUUGGGUCUAAAGGGUCUGUAGCCGGCCGGAUAAGUCUCUUGGGAAAUCUGGCAGCUCAACUGUCAGGCUUUCAGGAGAUACUGUCUGGCUCGAGGCCGGGAGAGGUGAGAGGUACUUCAGGGGUAGGGGUGAAAUCUUGUAAUCCUUGAAGGACCACCAGUGGCGAAGGCGUCUCACCAGAACGGACCUGACGGCAAGGGACGAAAGCUAGGGGCACGAACCGGAUUAGAUACCCGGGUAGUCCUAGCCGUAAACGAUACUCGCUAGGUGUCGGCCACGGUGCGACCGUGGUCGGUGCCGUAGGGAAGCCGUGAAGCGAGCCACCUGGGAAGUACGGCCGCAAGGCUGAAACUUAAAGGAAUUGGCGGGGGAGCACCACAACGGGUGGAGCUUGCGGUUUAAUUGGAGUCAACGCCGG
This 581-nucleotide ribosomal RNA is filed under the name uncultured methanogenic archaeon. RNAcentral's name for it is "bacterial SSU rRNA". It matches the Rfam family "Archaeal small subunit ribosomal RNA", at positions 340 to 921 of the family's 1478-position model. The record is from RNAcentral. Lineage: Archaea; Methanobacteriati; Methanobacteriota.